Molecule: ribosomal RNA, 257 nt
Filed under: uncultured archaeon
Lineage: Archaea
Description: partial 16S ribosomal RNA
Rfam family: Bacterial small subunit ribosomal RNA
Source: RNAcentral
UAAUACGAAGGGUGCAAGCGUUACUCGGAAUUACUGGGCGUAAAGCGUGCGUAGGUGGUUCGUUAAGUCUGCCGUGAAAGCCCCGGGCUCAACCUGGGAAUGGCGGUGGAUACUGGCGGACUAGAGUGCGGUAGAGGGUGGUGGAAUUCCCGGUGUAGCAGUGAAAUGCGUAGAGAUCGGGAGGAACAUCUGUGGCGAAGGCGGCCACCUGGACCAGCACUGACACUGAGGCACGAAAGCGUGGGGAGCAAACAGGA